Molecule: ribosomal RNA, 235 nt
Filed under: uncultured bacterium
Lineage: Bacteria
Description: partial 16S ribosomal RNA
Rfam family: Bacterial small subunit ribosomal RNA
Source: RNAcentral
UGAGUAACCUGCCCUUAAACUCUGGGAUAAGCCUGGGAAACUGGGUCUAAUACCGGAUAUGACUCCUCAUCGCAUGGUGGGGGGUGGAAAGCUUUAUUGUGGUUUUGGAUGGACUCGCGGCCUAUCAGCUUGUUGGUGAGGUAAUGGCUUACCAAGGCGACGACGGGUAGCCGGCCUGAGAGGGUGACCGGCCACACUGGGACUGAGACACGGCCCAGACUCCUACGGGAGGCAG